RNAcentral lists this small RNA (30 nucleotides) under Bombyx mori (domestic silkworm). RNAcentral's name for it is "ovarian small RNA-17140". Lineage: Eukaryota; Metazoa; Arthropoda; Insecta; Lepidoptera; Bombycidae. The record is from RNAcentral.
GCUUACCACGGUGUGGCCGAUGACUGGGGU